AGAGUGGAAGCGAGCCAAGGAUGACUUGCCGGUUUAAACACAACCGGUUUAUUGACCAUUGGUUCGGUCACAUCGGUUGAUUUGUGUUUGGCAAGUUGACCUUGGCUCUGUUUUGUUCUAU
Molecule: microRNA precursor, 121 nt
Organism: Arabis alpina (gray rockcress)
Lineage: Eukaryota; Viridiplantae; Streptophyta; Magnoliopsida; Brassicales; Brassicaceae
Source: Rfam